RNAcentral lists this ribosomal RNA (497 nucleotides) under uncultured bacterium. RNAcentral describes it as "partial 16S ribosomal RNA". It matches the Rfam family "Bacterial small subunit ribosomal RNA", at positions 28 to 507 of the family's 1533-position model. The record is from RNAcentral.
GACGAACGCUGGCGGCGUGCCUAAUACAUGCAAGUUGAGCGAUGAAGAUUGGUGCUUGCACCAAUUUGAAGAGCAGCGAACGGGUGAGUAACGCGUGGGGAAUCUGCCUUUGAGCGGGGGACAACAUUUGGAAACGAAUGCUAAUACCGCAUAACAACUUUAAACAUAAGUUUUAAGUUUGAAAGAUGCAAUUGCAUCACUCAAAGAUGAUCCCGCGUUGUAUUAGCUAGUUGGUGAGGUAAAGGCUCACCAAGGCGAUGAUACAUAGCCGACCUGAGAGGGUGAUCGGCCACAUUGGGACUGAGACACGGCCCCAACUCCUACGGGAGGCAGCAGUAGGGGAUCUUCGGCAAUGGACGAAAGUCUGACCGAGCAACGCCGCGUGAGUGAAGAAGGUUUUCGGAUCGUAAAACUCUGUUGGUAGAGAAGAACGUUGGUGAGAGUGGAAAGCUCAUCAAGUGACGGUAACUACCCAGAAAGGGACGGCUAACUACGUG